GAGUUUGAUUCUGGCUCAGGAUGAACGCUAGCGAUAGGCUUAACACAUGCAAGUCGAGGGGCAGCGAGGGUAGCAAUACCUGUCGGCGACCGGCGCACGGGUGAGUAACGCGUAUGUAACCUGCCCGCAACAGGGGGAUAACCCGGCGAAAGUCGGACUAAUACCGCAUAAAACAGGGGUCCCGCAUGGGAAUAUUUGUUAAAGAUUUAUCGGUUGCGGAUGGGCAUGCGUACCAUUAGGUAGUUGGUGAGGUAACGGCUCACCAAGCCAUCGAUGGUUAGGGGUUCUGAGAGGAAGGUCCCCCACACUGGUACUGAGACACGGACCAGACUCCUACGGGAGGCAGCAGUGAGGAAUAUUGGUCAAUGGGCGAGAGCCUGAACCAGCCAAGUCGCGUGAAGGAUGACUGCCCUAUGGGUUGUAAACUUCUUUUACAAGGGAAUAAAAUGAGAUACGUGUAUUUUAUUGCAUUACCUNGANGU
This 482-nucleotide ribosomal RNA is filed under the name Tannerella forsythia. RNAcentral describes it as "bacterial SSU rRNA". It matches the Rfam family "Bacterial small subunit ribosomal RNA", at positions 9 to 486 of the family's 1533-position model. Lineage: Bacteria; Pseudomonadati; Bacteroidota; Bacteroidia; Bacteroidales; Tannerellaceae. The record is from RNAcentral.